RNAcentral lists this ribosomal RNA (547 nucleotides) under Aspidiotus destructor. Its description in RNAcentral is "LSU rRNA". The record is from RNAcentral. Lineage: Eukaryota; Metazoa; Arthropoda; Insecta; Hemiptera; Diaspididae.
AUCUGGGCGACGGUAUUCAGGAUGGCUGGCGCGCCUCGCGGUGCGUCGGUCGUUUGAUAUUUCCGUCGCCGAUCAACCGCAGACGUCGCGACCUGUUCGCGGUCGGUCCUUGCUCGGAGGAGCCGCGAUCGAGUUCGUUGCGUGCGCGUUUCGGCGUGUCACGCGGCGAAGACGCGGAUCUCUGGCUGGCCGUCGGACAGUAUGCUUAACGGUGUCCGGUGUCGUCGUCUCGUACGCGCGUGCACCGGUACCGGUCAGCGACGAAUUCUUCGGGCCUCUUUCCGACCCGUCUUGAAACACGGACCAAGGAGUCUAACAUGCGCGCGAGUCGCGGGGUGUCGAGCGUACCUCGGUACGUUCGUUACGUUGCGAAACCCGUACAUGUCGAAGGCGUAAUGAAAGUGAAUGGGGAAGAUGGUGUUCCGAGUACACGUUCCGUGAUCGUUGGCAUUGCGGCCGGACACCCGCAUUCCCAGGGCGUCUCAACGGCCCGUCGCUGAUGCGGACAGUCGUCUCUCGGGGCGGCUGUCGGUCGGCGACGAACCGA